GCCCGGGUGGUGGAAUUGCUAGACACGUUGGACUUAAAAUCCAAUGAUCGCAAGAUCGUGCGGGUUGGAGUCCCGCCCCGGGUACCA
Molecule: transfer RNA, 87 nt
Filed under: Candidatus Komeilibacteria bacterium CG10_big_fil_rev_8_21_14_0_10_41_13
Lineage: Bacteria; Candidatus Komeiliibacteriota
Description: tRNA-Leu
Rfam family: tRNA
About the family: Transfer RNA (tRNA) molecules are approximately 80 nucleotides in length.
Source: RNAcentral